RNAcentral lists this transfer RNA (126 nucleotides) under Alteromonas mediterranea. RNAcentral's name for it is "tRNA-OTHER". It matches the Rfam family "tRNA". From Rfam's summary of the family: Transfer RNA (tRNA) molecules are approximately 80 nucleotides in length. Their secondary structure includes four short double-helical elements and three loops (D, anti-codon, and T loops). RNAcentral also lists the same sequence under 2 other names. The record is from RNAcentral. Lineage: Bacteria; Pseudomonadati; Pseudomonadota; Gammaproteobacteria; Alteromonadales; Alteromonadaceae.
GAACUCUGUAGCUCAGUAUGGAUAGAGCGCCACGCCGCUUUCAAGGUGGUUGCAAACACCAAGAAUAUAAUUUCGCGAUAAAGGCUAUAAGGGGUCAGUCGUAGGUUCAAAUCCUGCCAGAGUUCA